AUCUAGCUGACGAGUCCCAAAUAGGAUGAAAUGCACUUCCUAGAU
Schistosoma margrebowiei is the source of this 45-nucleotide non-coding RNA. Lineage: Eukaryota; Metazoa; Platyhelminthes; Trematoda; Strigeidida; Schistosomatidae. The record is from Rfam.